GACGAACGCUGGCGGCGUGCUUAACACAUGCAAGUCGAACGGAAAGGCCCUGCUUUUGUGGGGUGCUCGAGUGGCGAACGGGUGAGUAACACGUGAGUAACCUGCCCUUGACUUUGGGAUAACUUCAGGAAACUGGGGCUAAUACCGGAUAGGAGCUCCUGCUGCAUGGUGGGGGUUGGAAAGUUUCGGCGGUUGGGGAUGGACUCGCGGCUUAUCAGCUUGUUGGUGGGGUAGUGGCUUACCAAGGCUUUGACGGGUAGCCGGCCUGAGAGGGUGACCGGACACAUUGGGACUGAGAUACGGCCCAGACUCCUACGGGAGGCAGCAGUGGGGAAUAUUGCAGAAUGGGCGGAAGCCUGAUGCAGCAACGCCGCGUGCGGGAUGACGGCCUUCGGGUUGUAAACCGCUUUCGCCUGUGACGAAGCGUGAGUGACGGUAAUGGGUAAAGAAGCACCGGCUAACUACGUG
RNAcentral lists this ribosomal RNA (468 nucleotides) under uncultured bacterium. RNAcentral's name for it is "partial 16S ribosomal RNA". It matches the Rfam family "Bacterial small subunit ribosomal RNA", at positions 28 to 507 of the family's 1533-position model. The record is from RNAcentral.